This 325-nucleotide ribosomal RNA is filed under the name uncultured bacterium. Its description in RNAcentral is "bacterial SSU rRNA". It matches the Rfam family "Bacterial small subunit ribosomal RNA", at positions 373 to 710 of the family's 1533-position model. The record is from RNAcentral.
GGGCGCAAGCCUGAUGCAGCGACGCCGCGUGAGGGAUGGAGGCCUUCGGGUUGUAAACCUCUUUUAUCGGGGAGCAAGCGUGAGUGAGUUUACCCGUUGAAUAAGCACCGGCUAACUACGUGCCAGCAGCCGCGGUAAUACGUAGGGUGCAAGCGUUAUCCGGAAUUAUUGGGCGUAAAGGGCUCGUAGGCGGUUCGUCGCGUCCGGUGUGAAAGUCCAUCGCUUAACGGUGGAUCCGCGCCGGGUACGGGCGGGCUUGAGUGCGGUAGGGGAGACUGGAAUUCCCGGUGUAACGGUGGAAUGUGUAGAUAUCGGGAAGAACACC